Molecule: non-coding RNA, 21 nt
Filed under: Caenorhabditis elegans
Lineage: Eukaryota; Metazoa; Nematoda; Chromadorea; Rhabditida; Rhabditidae
Source: RNAcentral
UGUGUUUCACUUUCCUCACAU